This 513-nucleotide ribosomal RNA is filed under the name uncultured bacterium. Its description in RNAcentral is "bacterial SSU rRNA". It matches the Rfam family "Bacterial small subunit ribosomal RNA", at positions 791 to 1304 of the family's 1533-position model. The record is from RNAcentral.
UAGUCCACGCCGUAAACGAUGAUUACUAGAUGUCUGGAGUGUUAACCCUCCGGGUAUCAAAGCUCACGCAUUAAGUAAUCCGCCUGGGGAGUACGGUCGCAAGGCUAAAACUCAAAGGAAUUGACGGGGGCCCGCACAAGCGGUGGAGUAUGUGGUUUAAUUCGAAGCAACGCGCAGAACCUUACCUGGCCUUGACAUCUCGUGCCAACCAUAGAGAUAUGGUUUUCUCUUCGGAGACGCGAUGACAGGUGCUGCAUGGCUGUCGUCAGCUCGUGUCGUAAGAUGUUCGGUUAAGUCCGGCAACGAGCGCAACCCCUAUUGCUAGUUACUAACAUUAAGUUGAGGACUCUAGUGAGACUGCCGGUGUUAAACCGGAGGAAGGCGGGGAUGACGUCAAGUCCUCAUGGCCCUUACGGCCAGGGCUACACACGUACUACAAUGGUAGAAACAAAGGGUUGCGAGACCGCGAGGUGGAGCUAAUCCCAAAAACACUAUCUCAGUCCGGAUUGCACU